UUUGCAUCAGUAGUGAUUCAACUAACAAAAAGAAACUACUUUGUUUAUCCAGGAACUGAUCAUCUCUUUCGAAAAUGGUAAUUCUUUUUUUUUAUAAAGUUAAAUUACUUAGCAAGAAUAUAAUAUAAGAUGUGUAUGCUAAUCAAGUGUAAUUUAUUUAUUGUGCGUGAUCCUCUUCAGGUACGUCUGAGAGCCACAUGUAAUCUCAAAGCUUUUUAAAAACUUUGAAACUCAUUGACGUUGUCCUAUCAAUUAUAUAAUUUGUUAUCUUUUGGGGAUUGUUUACAUCUUUAAAUAUUUUUGUUAGAAUUACCUCUUUUCUGACUCAAGGCUUAGAGAAAGAAACCGUAAAUCAUCUCUGCUGUUACAAUGAAACCAAUG
Molecule: long non-coding RNA, 381 nt
Filed under: Brassica rapa (field mustard)
Lineage: Eukaryota; Viridiplantae; Streptophyta; Magnoliopsida; Brassicales; Brassicaceae
Description: long non-coding RNA (BRAP_LNC003383)
Source: RNAcentral